GGCUGCAUGGGCAAUCUCAAAUGCCACAUCUGGAGGCUCUCACGAUCAGAUCAAGUACCUAGUAAGUCAAGGGUGUAUCAAACCUCUGUGCGAUCUUCUAAUUUGCCCUGAUCCUAGGAUUGUCACGGUUUGUUUGGAAGGACUUGAAAAUAUCUUGAAGGUAGGAGAAGCUGAAAAGAACACAAGUGAUACAGGAGGCGUUAAUCUUUAUGCUCAAUUGAUCGAUGAUGCUGAGGGGCUAGAGAAAAUUGAGAACCUACAGAGUCAUGACAACACUGAAAUUUAUGAGAAGGCAGUGAAGAUCCUUGAGACCUACUGGUUGGAAGAGGAAGAUGAGACUAUGCCACCAGGUACUGCUUCGCAAGCUGGAUUCAGUUUUGGUGGCGAUCGGCCUGUCGUACCAUCUGGGGGAUUCAACUUUGGCUAAAAAGGCUUUCCCGUGGGGUUAUAUCGACAACAUCUCCAGUCACAUCGGGUCAGGUCAGGCGUGUUAUGUCGUUGUUUGGCUAUGCUUAUCCCAGUCGCAGUUGUUAUUUAGAGUGUUGGUGGAAUGGGUUGGAUGCUUUUUACAUGAGUUGGGGAUUGACUGGUGAUGAGACAGUGGAAUAUAUAUACUAUAUCAAUUGGUAAUAUAGUUUCCACAGAUCUAAGAAAUCGGAGCGAUUUCGUUUGGCAAACUCUGAUUUUUUAUUGUUUUUUUCUUAGUUGGUCUACUUGUCAUAAACAUGGAGUCUAAGCAUUGUUUUUUCCCCCAUUUACACUAUUACGCUCUUAUCAUUUUUUGUUCAUAGUUUUUCCAGAGAGUAACUUUUAGAUUUAUAGCAGAUACCAUUUUGGCUAGCUGGCGUCUAUAUGUUGUUAUUUU
RNAcentral lists this unclassified non-coding RNA (865 nucleotides) under Hevea brasiliensis (rubber tree). The record is from RNAcentral. Lineage: Eukaryota; Viridiplantae; Streptophyta; Magnoliopsida; Malpighiales; Euphorbiaceae.